This 207-nucleotide ribosomal RNA is filed under the name uncultured bacterium. RNAcentral describes it as "partial 16S ribosomal RNA". It matches the Rfam family "Bacterial small subunit ribosomal RNA", at positions 568 to 774 of the family's 1533-position model. The record is from RNAcentral.
UCCGUAGGCGGCCAUGCAAGUCUUGGGUGAAAUCCCCCGGCUCAACUGGGGAACUGCCUGGGAAACUGUGUGGCUUGAGUUCGGUAGAGGGAGAUGGAAUUCCGGGUGUAGCGGUGAAAUGCGUAGAUAUCCGGAGGAACACCAGUGGCGAAGGCGAUCUCCUGGGCCGAUACUGACGCUGAGGGACGAAAGCUAGGGGAGCAAACA